UGCGAAGGGUGCAAACGUUGCUCGGAAUUAUUGGGCGUAAAGCGCACGUAGGCGGCUUUCUAAGUCAGGGGUGAAAUCCUGGAGCUCAACUCCAGAACUGCCCUUGAUACUGGAGAGCUUGAGUUCGGGAGAGGUGAGUGGAACUGCGAGUGUAGAGGUGAAAUUCGUAGAUAUUCGCAAGAACACCAGUGGCGAAGGCGGCUCACUGGCCCGAUACUGACGCUGAGGUGCGAAAGCGUGGGGAGCAAACAGG
This 253-nucleotide ribosomal RNA is filed under the name uncultured bacterium. RNAcentral describes it as "partial 16S ribosomal RNA". It matches the Rfam family "Bacterial small subunit ribosomal RNA", at positions 524 to 776 of the family's 1533-position model. The record is from RNAcentral.